Molecule: long non-coding RNA, 9347 nt
Organism: Manis javanica (Malayan pangolin)
Lineage: Eukaryota; Metazoa; Chordata; Mammalia; Pholidota; Manidae
Source: RefSeq, a predicted model, not a curated record
AGGCCCGGGCGCCCUGGGAGCCCGCAGGGCCGCGCCCCGCGGCCGCUUCGCCCGCGCGCCUUCCAGCAGGGCAUCCUCCGGCGGGGACGCCCGGCACCCCGCGGCCCCGGGGGGGAGGAGGGCCGGCGGCUGGGGCGGGAGCGCAGGCGCAGGCCAGGCUCGGCCCGGGGCGGGCUCCGCGGGCGCCGAGACCACCGGGCGGGCAGCGGGCUGGGCCGUGACGCGGCCCUGGCCCCGGCCCCGGCCCCGGCCUCGCCCGCCACUUGGCCCCUGCGAACGGCAGCAGCGGGCCCGGCUCAGGGGGCGUCCCCGGGGGCCCCGCGGGGGUCACGAAGCUGUCAGAAGCCUAGUCAUGGACACCAGAGCAUGAAGCAAAAGAGAGAGGUGCACAACUCACCACUGUCAGAUUUCUUUACUGAGGCUUGGAAUGGCAUGCUGCCCAAGCUACUUGCACAAGCUACUAAGUGGCACUUGAAUUGGACCAGGUCUUCCUGACUUUCAGUGUGGGUGUGCAAACAUUACCUCAUGAUGUCUCAGAGGAGUGGUGCAGGAUCCCAGGAGACUGGCAGAACAGGUAUUAAUAUCCCUGCAUUUCCUGCUGGCCAUGCUCAGAGGCCCUGACAGGGUUACUCUUGGGCCAGAGCUGCGUGCGACCACCCCCCAAAGGGUGGGGCCUGCCGCCCUCAGACUUGCAGAGGAGGCUUCCCUGAGCUGAAUGGCUCCCAGGGUCUGGCUGGCAACACAUUCUUGCCCACAUCUCUCAGCUGCCUACUUCACGGGGAAGAGCACGGCCUUCCUUUCUCUGAAAAGUCAGCUGCCUGAGAAAUACCAAGGCACAAGAUACUACAGCAAGCCAGUGCUGGCCGGAAAGCAUGCUCCCCAACCACCAAAAUAAGGAGCCACACAUCAGCAGAUUAGCUGGUCCUGCCCACCCACCCAUGGCCAGCAGACAGUGCCUGUCACCAUCCGCAGGAACAUCCUGAUUUGUGUCCUCUCUGUCCUGCAUUUCCCAGGUCACCCCCACCACCCCAGGCCACCAGGCAGGGGAAAGGCACAUGCUGACCUCUGGUCAUGGGGAAACUGCCCCAUUCCAGCUGGUCAGGACCCAUCCCUCUCCAAGGGCCAACACAUCUGCCCCUCGCUAGGGGUCAGGAUCCCAAGCAUUUUAUUAGUGCCCUACAUGUCGCACCAAGCGGGUGCUCCACAGCCCGCCCUUCCACAGCCCAGCGAGGGGCCUCAGCCAAAAUGCCUCUCUGGUUGUGCAGCAGGAUAAACCCAGCCAGAGGAAGUGAACAGAAGUGCGGGCAUGGGAAGCUCCAGUUCCUGAGGGUCCAGGCCUCUCCAGAGGCUAGAGCUCCGCCACUAGGCACUGUGGCCAUUUUAAAGACACGAACUCUCUCCAAGAUCCUGUGCUGUGAAAGGCCCCCUGAAUCCGGGCCAGGAGAGCCAGAACUCAGGCCACCAGGUCUGCAGGCAGAGGCAGGGGGAUGCUUCUAGGCUGGGGCUGCAGACACAGUGGUGGAAGCGGGGGUGGGCCGCAGGUGAGGGCUGACAUGCUGUCCUCUCCUCCCUCGCCAUGGGGAGGGGUGGCACCUUUUGGCCCAGGUGCAUGGGCAGGCCUCUCUCCCUUCUCACCUCUCUGCCUCGGCACCAGCUUCCCCUGCACUGACUGGGAUGGGGAACCCUGGCCAUGGCCCCUCUGCACCAAAGCUGUCAGCCCAUGUGCAGCCACCCCACCUUCAGGCCUCACUACCCUCCCUGCACCUGAUUCUUCUGGCACAGAGCUCCAAGCCCCUCACUGCGGCCCCACCCCAGCCCAUCCCCUGUUGGUAGUGCCCCUUGACACAGAUAGCCCACCUGUCUGCUAGCACCCAGGUCUCAGUGACCAGGAGUGGAGGGCUGUGUGACCAGUCCCCUCACUGAAACACGCACAGAGCCUCCACUUUAAAGCUACGCUGGGCCCUGGAGGGAACAAGAAACAACAGUUAAGGGUCCUACUCCUCAGGACCUCGCGAUCCAGGGCAGGGGUCUUAGCCACUGGCAUAGGCUUUGCGGUCUCUGAAACUGGAAGCAGACGGUGCUUGCGCACAAGAGCAGGGAGUGUUUCAGCAGUGCUGAAUGCUUAGGAGGUUUCUGGCCUCAUAACGAGAGGAGUUCAGAACCACAAACCGGGGGGGCACCUGGCAGGCUGGGCUGUGUCCUAUUCAUGACUUAGCGUCUCAGCACAAGUCCUGGGAUAGAACAGGCUUGGCAUAUUCCAUGUGUUAGAAUGAAGGAACUGAACUUCCAAGUUCAAAUCAGCAUACCUGCCAGGGUGCAGGGGCUUUGGAUGCAGUCCUGGCCAGAGGGAGUUGCUGCCCUUCCAGGGGUGGUCAGGGCAGCACAGCUGCCCCAGAGAAAUGUGUCUUGUACACAGCCAACACAGCCCCACUCUGACCUCAGAGCCUGGCCUUCAGGGUGCGUCCCUGCCCAGCCCCCACCCCAGGUCUCCCUUCCCUUUGCGGGAAGUUCCUGUUCCCCACGCGGCCUCUCCCACACGGGUGCUCUCCACUCAGCCAGCAGGUUUGCCCAGAGGGGACCUGCCACACACACCUGCCCAGAGAUCUCUCCGUGCAGUGGCUCAGCUCCUGCUGGCUCCUUAGAUUGGCUGGGAGAGGACCUGAGGGGAGGGUGAGGGCCACACAGACAGAGGCUGGCCUGGGGAGGCGGGGCAGGGGUGGGGCACGCUGUCCUUUGGGGGCCACCUUCCCCAGCAGCCCCCAUGCUUACUCACUCCCUUCCCGCUGACACUGGCAGCUGCACCUUCUCAAGCCAGCAUGUUCCCCAGCAAACUCUCACCCGACACCUUGCAAACCCCAGCACCCACAGAGAGAGCAGCUGGGCAGGCCCAGGAGAGGACCGAGUAGCUGACAGCUGCUACCUUGGGUGAGCCCUGGAGGGCCCGCAGGGCUGAACACUCAGGUCUCCAGGCCGGGUAUCAAGCAGACGUGAGCACAUCAGCUCUCGCACUCUCACAAGCAGCCCACAGAGUGGUUAUUGCCCCCAUUUUACAAAUAGAGGAAACUGAGGAUUCGGGUGAUGGAGUCACACAGAUUCAGUUAAGAUCUUGUGUCCCCAGGGCCACCGUGGUGACGGAAGCCUUUGUCUCAAAGCCUCCCUCCAGUCAGCUGUGAGGUCUCCUGUAUCUCUCUGUGGCUGCCACCGGCUGAGGCAUUCCUACUCCGGGUGACAGGCAGAUGUUCAGGGCCAGAGGCAGGGUCCUAGCUACCUGUGGCCAGGUCUGGCUCCAGUGCUGAGCAGCAUAUGGACAAGCUGCAGUGUUGGGAGGGGAGGGGACCACCUCUUCUGGAGGGUGAGCUAGCUGGGGGGGAGAGAGAGGGGGUGGGAACAGAGCACCAACCACUGGACUCACAGGUCAGUAGCUGAUACAGGGCUCCCAGCCGUGGUACACAGCAGAACCACCCAGGGCUUUUCCCAAAUGCCUGCCUGGACCCCCCUGGAGAGUUAAGUGACUGCACCCAGGUGGGCUUUGGCAUGUAUUUGUGGGUAAAGUUCUCAGAGGUUUGCAAAUGCACCCUACUCAUUUCCGAAGAGCAAGAAAGACAACAGCAGCCAGGACGUGCAGGAGCUGGCCUCUGUCACAGCUGGGCCCUGGCAUCCUCCAUGUGGGACAUAAGCAACAGCACAGGGUAUCACCAUCAGGCAAGGCCACUCUGGGACGGCAACAGAGCAAGCCAAGAACAAGCUCUCUCCGCGUUCACGGCUGGGCACGCACAGAACACGCACGCCGUCCCGGCCACCCAGACCCAACAGCCCUCCUGGCUACUCCGAGGGUGCUGCUACUUUCCAGUUCCAGCUUCAGCCGCAGACUAGCGGCCCCUCCUCCCGGGUCAGAGUUCUCAGGCCUCGCCCUGCUUCCUCACCACAUCGCCUGGGAAGCACAGCCCUGCCCCUGCCCGGGCCCACCUGACAGCAAGUCCUCUGCAACCCCGUCCCGCAGGCCGAGGGACCCGUUUCACACUCCCAGGACCCCACCCCUGAGGGCACUGCCUCUCGGGGGAUCAGGCGCCCCAGGCUGGACGGGUUCCCAGGCCUACGCCUCUUAGAGCACCAGCCAGAAAUGACACCCCGGGUGACGGACACACAGACGUGGUGAUCCUAAGGACACCUUGUGCUGAGCGCUCACCCAAAGGAAGCCAGAAUCACCGUGUCUCUGUGCCAGACCGCCUGCUGCCUGUGGCCACCACAGCCCCUGCCUGAGGCCCCCAGGAAGGGGCUUUGUUCACAGUGGGAGGAGCACCCUGAGAGGCUCCCUCAGGGAGCGCGGUGGCACCACAGAGGCCUGACUGACAGGUGGCAACCUGCACAGGCUGCAGGGCCACUGGACCGUCUCUGACACAAGUACACGGAGAAACUCCCCACGGUGCUGACAGCGGCCCUCCCCACUACUUCGUAUGCCCUCGUCACCCCCUCCUGCACCUGCCCUCCCCUAGCCCCCACCCCAUCCCUGGACACCCCUGCCGGGAUUUCUGCGCUACAGCUUCAGGGCACCCCUAGAAGUCCGGGUCAGCCACCGCACCACACAGCGGGCCCCUGCUCCUGCUCAGCCCGGCUCUCUGCAGCCCAGCCCCGGAGGCUGUGUGCACCACCGCUGCUGGGCCGUAGCAGGGCUGGGCCUGGAGCCCUGAUCAGCGGCUUCCUGUCUUCCUCCACCUCCACACGGAGGAGAACCGCCACCGGGACGCGCCUCUGCACUGGCGGUGCCUCCCUCCUGGCCACUUCCCAUGUCCCUGCUCUGCUGCUGAGAGCAUGCUUGGCCCUGCAUCAUGAGCCCUUGAGAGCCCAGCACCAGGGCAGGUUCCACCCGACUCCUCCGGCUGUGAGGAACAUGUGUUUGGGGUGUUUGGGGGAAGAGAGAAAUAGACACUGGGGGUGGGAAGAAAGCUCUGAGGAGACAGCGAACAGAUGCCAGGUGCCCCUCUGUGAGGGCUGACACACGGGGUCCCCAUGUUCUCAUGACCUAUCUGACUCGUGCCACCCGAGAGCAUGGGGCUCAAGUGAGGGGGUGUCUCCCACCAUGCAACGCAGAGAGCUGGUCCACACCGCGGCUCCCAAGCCACCAGCACGCAAAGGGACAGGCGCCCCACAGGGGUGGCUUCCAGACCCAGGCCUCCUUGAUGCUCACUUUCCAUGCUCAGGGGCAAAGGCUGUGCCAGAGGGACUGGUCAGCACCUGUUACAGCAGGGUGGGAGGGCUGCAGGCUCCACGUGCUCCAGCCUUGGCUUCUCCUCCGUCCAGGCUGGCCUAGGAGUGGCCCUGUUCCGAGGGACGGUGCAGCAGCUCCAGGUCUGCAGCUCAGCGACCCUCAGAUAGGGUGCCUGCAAGACGAUGCCUGUGUCCCAGCCCCAAAUCCCAACCCACCCGGUCUGGGCGUAUCUGGGAUGUGACUUGCAGCUGCAGCUGAGGAGUGCCACAGCCUCGGGUCACCAGUGGCCCGGGGCCUGUCUGCCCUGGCCUGUGGUCCCCGGGGAAGCAGGCCGUUCACCUCUUGCUGUGCUUCGUGGUUCUCCUGUCAUUGAUUUAACCAGACGCCAGCGAGCACGGCCCCAUCCAGGUUCCUGUCGGCAAGGUGCUCUCCGGCCCCAACAAGGCAGGAGGCAGGCAAGGGGUGGGCAAAGGGGAGCCCCACAUGCUGGGACAGCCCCUCAGCUCUCCCUGCCCUCCCCUCAUCUCAGGCCACCACCACAGAGAUGGAGCACACAGAUAGGAAGUGAGCCCUCUAACUGCUUCUUCUGCCCUGCUUUCUGUCUGUGCUGACUGGAGCACUAUAUAUGGCUGAAUUUUAAAUUACAUAAUAUAUGAUACACAAAAGGAAAAAUAGGUUUAUGUAUGUUAUGAAAUAAUAAUAUAAUGAACAUCUGCACAUCUAUCUCCCAAUAUUAAAUGUGGCUGUUUUUGAGGUACUACAGUCAUUAAUUAUUAAGUGCCACAGAAGCUGUGUUUGCACCUGGUGGGGGGUUUUCAUGUGCACAUGGAAUGUGAAAGGCUCAUUUUUGUGUCAUUGUUUGUGGUCUGUCACAUGUGAGAAUAAGGAAGAAAAGCUGUGACUGAAGGAAGCUGAGCUGCAAAGGCAGCAUGGGGAAGGGGUCUAAGCAAACAGAAGAGGCAAUCAGGGAAGACUUCCUGGAAGAGGUGACGAAGGAGAAAUGGGGCAACCUAGAAGAGGCUGGUACGGUGGGGAGACAUCCCAAGACAGGGCAGCCUGUGAGUGUGGGGUCCCCCACCCAUCACCUGUGAUACAUGAGUCACCAGACAGGGGGCCACAAGGCCUCGCAGACACCCCCCAGCAGGCUCAGACUGGUUACCCCAGGAGGGGCCAGGGGUCAGGCUUGGGGUCAGAACAGGCAUUCUGAAUACCAUUUCAGAACAACAGAGUAUCAUUUAAGCCUCACAGUCUUGAACUGGCAAGGGACACACUGCCCAUUUCAUGACCGGGAAACCUCCAGGAAACUGAGCAGUCAGAGCUCAUCCCGGGAGCCAGAAGCCAGCACGCAGGACAUGGCCCGGUCCUGCCACAGCGUUCAGGCCAGCAGACCAUGACGUCCCACGGGCCAGGAGCAAACUCAAUAGCUCCUGGAGUUGUAAAUGGCCGCUGCAGUCUCUGGUGGGCCCAGAACAAGCUGACCCUGCAGCAGGCAGCAGGAACCGCUUCCACUGGCCCAAGCGGAAAGGGCGGACAGGCGCCCGGAGCGGAGGGAGUCUGGGCAGCAGGGCUGAGCUUGGCCCCAUCUGGAGAGGGUGGUAGUGUCCACGUCUCUAGGACCACCACCCUGGCCAGCCUGCCCAGGUCCUCCAGAUGGAGGGGGCCCUGGGGCUUUGACGCAGCCAGCAUCCUCCUGCUGGUUAAUUCACUCGCCGGUUCAACAAGUGAUUCCCACGACACACUGCGCUCCAAGCCCCGGCUGGAGCCUGCAACCUGGAGCAAGGGAACCGGACUCAAGGUAUGGGUGUGCGGAAUGGCUGGAUAGGGGCAACCUGGCCAAGGUCACGGCUGCUCCUUCGGUUGGCAGAGGGCACAGAGUGAGAGUCUGGGGCAAAAGCACAGGUGGGGACCAUGUCCCAGGGCCUCUCCCUGUGGCCACAGGUGAGGCCUCUGAAAGGCAGUGUGGGAGAGAAGGCCCCUCAUGGGGAGGAAGCACCAGGCCUCGGACCUCUGAGGAGCAAUAUGCCCAGUGUGGUGCAGUCCAGGGUGGCAGGGAGCCAGUGGCCCUGAGGGCACCGAGGGCUCCUGGCAGGUGGCUAAUCCCCAUGCCUGGUCUCUUCUGCCCACGCUGCACUCUCUGCUUUGUUGUGCAGAGGGGACCCAACUCUUUAGGACUCAUGGAAUCAGUCUCUCCAUGAAGUCUCACAGGCAGGGUCUCUGUGGCCUCGGGUGCCUGCUGUGACCUUUGCCCAGAAGAGCUGGAACAUGCAGGCAAUCCCCUUGCAAAUGCUCCCAGGGCCCUGAGGUUUACACCCCACCCCAAAGCUGAGAAGCUGAGUGAGUCCUGGGGGAACUUAACUACAUGCUAUGGGGGUCGUUUGCUCCUUUCCUGCCAGCAUCCGAGCAGCAGUUCUGCUUACGGGGGCGAGAUCCUAAGAUAAUUUAGAAACUGGGCCCCACCCACCCUGGAAGUUGAGGGGGGCUGAUAUCCUCCCUUCCCACCCUCUAGAGGGCAGCUCAGCUAAGCUCCUGAGGACCCGCGUCUAUAAGGGGGAGCUGGAGUGUUCUCUGUGAGCAGCCCGAGCUAUGUCAUGGGUGCACCUACUGUUACUCUCCUCUCCUCAUCUCUGCCAGAGCCGGGUCCCAGGAGCUACCCCACACCCUGCCAAGACAGGUACUUCUUUCCACUUGACUGGAGUCCAUUUCUGACUUUUGCAACUAAGAGCCUUCACUAAAGUGGUAUCAGGAUGAUUACAGGCAACAGACCUUCAGGAAAGGAUGCGGGGUAUGCCCGGGAUUGGUUAUUCCACCUGGCUGAGGCCAAACGCAGUGAGAAUCUAUUGGGAAUUCAGUUACGGAGCUCCACCAUCUCAUUGCUGGCAUGGCAAGCCCCUGGUUGAAGCGGCUAUGGCCAGGUGUCUACUAGGGGCUUUGAGGAGAAAAGGGACUCUCGCUACAAAACCUGAAAGGCAUGAAGAAUUCAAGUACUGUGGGGAAAUGCUGUUGCCUCUAACUGCCCUGGCCAGCUUAAAGGGGGAACCACAAGCUCAGACCUCCGAGCCCCCAGGGACUCCCUGUGGCUGUGCACACAUGAUCUCUCCUUCCUGCCUCACAUAUCGCCGAGGAGCGGUCCAAUCCCGUCACUCUGUGGUGAACUGUAAAGCUAGCUGAAUGGACUGCCUCCCGGCUCCUCAAAUGGAAGAGCCCUGUUAGGGAAGAGUGGGAUCCCUGGCCUUAGGAAUGGGGAUCGCCAGGGGAGUCACCAACCCACUGUUAUCACCCUGUCAGUAAGGGAGGCAGUUCUCCUCAGGCCCAACCCUUGAUGCCUCCACCGCCUCCAGAACAGAAAGUAGAAUCAGACCUCAGCACAGCCAUGGGAACCAUUACAAAGUCAGACUAUGGAAGGAAGGGCUCUCUUUCAGAAAUAUGACUCUGCCAAUACGCACUGGCAAAUCCCAGGGAAAACAGGUGGGAAUGGAUUCUGAGGGGAUCUGACCAAGGAGGAAAGAGCUUCAUACUGGCUCAGGAUGAAUGUGCAGCCGUGGGCGCCCACUCAUUCUCAAGUCGGUGUGCAUGCUCCAGCAGUCAGGACAUAUUCCAGAAGGUGGGCUGCUGACUGACUAAAACCUCAGCCUGAUAUUGGCGCCCCCAUGAAAUGAAACUGAAAAGCCAGAAAUUCCUUAAAGGAAUCCAAAUAUCAGAAGCAACAGUGCUGGAAUGGAUUUAUCAAAAGCAACCUGCUCACCACCUCGUAUGUUCCCCCAAGUCAAAAAGACAUGCCCUACCCCAUGGCACAAGGAAUACUUUGGCAAAAAGACUGUCAACAUCUUGGAGAGCUGCUAUGAAGCUGGUGAUGCUGAGGAGCGAUGCCACCUUCAGGGAGAAUUCCACAGGCAGGGGUGGCAGGAGCUGGCAGGGCAAAGGAGAGCAGCAGCGUGGAGUACCAGAAGCCAAAGUGGCACCAGAGCAUCCCGAUGCCAGGGCUCUCUGGCACUGACCAAUCAAAUCAGGGGCUGCCAGGACCGAAAUGGAUGGGCGUCACCAACCAGGUCCUAUUGAACUGUGUAAUAUUUUUAAAAAUGUAAAAAAAUUUUAACUAUGUCUGAUAGAAGGCUCCAUGAGUGCCCAGAACAGUGUCUGGUCA